Molecule: long non-coding RNA, 802 nt
Filed under: Sus scrofa (pig)
Lineage: Eukaryota; Metazoa; Chordata; Mammalia; Artiodactyla; Suidae
Description: lncRNA (ENSSSCG00025003514.1)
Source: RNAcentral
CUUAUGACAGACUGAUUGCACUACUGGUCUUAAUUCUUCACACUUGCCUAGAGCCACUCUGCCCUGAGAAUUCCUAUCUCCUCUAAAUAAAGAGGUGCAAUCUAGUUCCUUCUCCCUUGAAUCAGGGUUUUCCUCUGGCUGACUUUGGCCAAUAAGAGCUGGAAAUGACAGUGUGUCAGUUCCAAGCCUAGCUCAGAAGGCAUUGCAUAUUUUCCUCUGACUCACACACUCUGCCAUUACCAUGAGAACAUGCCUGGGUUAGCUGCCUGCAGAGCAAAAAUAGCAAAACCAAGUCAUCUCUGUUACCCCAAUGGGGGCCAACCCAGAGUAGCCAAUAAGACACCAAUCUUUGUACAUAUGGGGAAGAAACAGAGCAAUGAAGAUAUUCAUCACACAAUUUGAAUGAACAGUGACUGGUAAGUUAAUUUCCUUUCACUGAGAAACUUGGACUUUGUUGCUAGAAUAUUCUAUUUGGAGCAUGAAUCCCACAAAUCACUGAACCAUUGAUUUUAAUACUAAAUUUAUUUUAAAACAACUUUCAGGGAGUUCCCAUCAUGGCUCAGUGGUAACAAACCCAACUAGUUUCCUUGAGGACAUGGGUUUGAUCCCUGGCCUCGAUCAGUGGGUUAAGGACCUUGAGGUGGGCUGUGGUGUGGGUCACAAACACAGCUUGGAUCCUGCAUUGCUGUGGCUGUGGCAUAGGCUGGUAGCUGCAGCUCCAAUUUGACCCCUAGCCUGGGAACUUCCAUAUGCCAUGGGUGCAGCCCUAAAAAGACUAAUAAAAUACUUUUAAUGUUUGACA